CGCCGUGACUGCGCCGUUACUAGCAGGAUCGUGAGGGAAACCUCCGACACGGCGC
Molecule: non-coding RNA, 55 nt
Filed under: unclassified sequences
Source: RNAcentral